RNAcentral lists this ribosomal RNA (696 nucleotides) under uncultured bacterium. RNAcentral describes it as "bacterial SSU rRNA". It matches the Rfam family "Bacterial small subunit ribosomal RNA", at positions 224 to 919 of the family's 1533-position model. The record is from RNAcentral.
GAUGGCGAUGCGUCCCAUUAGUUAGUUGGCGGGGUAACGGCCCACCAAGACAUCGAUGGGUAGGGGUUCUGAGAGGAAGGUCCCCCACAUUGGAACUGAGACACGGUCCAAACUCCUACGGGAGGCAGCAGUGAGGAAUAUUGGUCAAUGGACGAGAGUCUGAACCAGCCAAGUAGCGUGCAGGAUGACGGCCCUCCGGGUUGUAAACUGCUUUUAGUUGGGAAUAAAGUUCGGGACGUGUCCCGAUUUGUAUGUACCAUCAGAAAAAGGACCGGCUAAUUCCGUGCCAGCAGCCGCGGUAAUACGGAAGGUCCGGGCGUUAUCCGGAUUUAUUGGGUUUAAAGGGAGCGCAGGCGGGCUUUUAAGUCAGUUGUGAAAUACGGCGGCUCAACCGUCGGACUGCAGUUGAAACUGGAAGUCUUGAGUUCACACAGGGAUGCCGGAAUUCAUGGUGUAGCGGUGAAAUGCUCAGAUAUCAUGAAGAACUCCGAUCGCGAAGGCAGGCAUCCGGGGUGUUACUGACGCUGAGGCUCGAAAGUGCGGGUAUCAAACAGGAUUAGAUACCCUGGUAGUCCGCACAGUAAACGAUGAACACUCGCAGUUGGCGAUACAGUGUCAGCUGCUUAGCGAAAGCGUUAAGUGUUCCACCUGGGGAGUACGCCCGGCAACGGUGAAACUCAAAGGAAUUGACGGGGG